RNAcentral lists this long non-coding RNA (1560 nucleotides) under Triticum aestivum (bread wheat). RNAcentral describes it as "long non-coding RNA (TAES_LNC017991)". Lineage: Eukaryota; Viridiplantae; Streptophyta; Magnoliopsida; Poales; Poaceae. The record is from RNAcentral.
AACAUGGAAUCACAACAAAACUCUACAACUCAAAGUAUUUAUUCGUUAGGCUCCGAGGAGCCAAGUAUUACAAACAUGGGUCUCAUGACCCAACAUACAGAGCAUACAAGCAACAAGUGGAAGCAUAACAUGUCUGAGUACAGACACCUACAAAUGAAAAAGGCCGAGAAGCCUGACUAUCUACAAGACCCUGCCGAGGGCACAAGAUCGUAGCUGAGGUAACCAGCUAAACGUUAAAGUCCACGCGGAACUACUAGCAAGACUGAAGUCUCUCUGCAAAAACAUAAAUUAAGCAAAUGUGAGUACAAAUGUACCCAUCAAGACUUACAUCAGAACAAACUACAUAUGCAUCGGUAUCAACAACGGGGGUGGUGGAGUUUAACUGCAGCAAGCCAGCUUUGACUCGGUGGCUAUCCUAAACUACGACUGCAAGUAACUCUUUUGAGGUGGCGCACACGAGUCCACAUAUUCACCAUAUCAAUACACCACUAUGGAUCCGCUCCUGUCUCCCUACGAGAAUGCCAUCCAUAGCACUCACGCUUAUCUUGCGCAUUUUAGAGUAUCCACUUUCACUUGUCUAUGAACUGUAUAGGCAACCCAGAGGUCCUUUACCGCGGACGCGGCUAUUCGAAUAGAUGAUGUUAACCCUGCAGGGGUGUACUUCUUCACACAUGCUCUCACCACUUAUCGCCGUUUACACGACAUGUACUCGGCAACCUUCAAGCGGAAGCCCAGCGAGGGUGUCGGCCACGACUUGACUAACCACACAAGUCCCUAGUCCAGGUUUAUCGCCUAUUCAGGUUACAUCCGUAGGGAGUCCGGCCGAGGUUUCCACAUACGGCCCCGAACGAUGUGUGCAGGUUCCCGAGACACCAAACGGGCGCUCGGUACACCAUGCACGAGCCUACCGCGUCACAGCCCAGCCCUCGGGUCAGCGCUGCGCACGGCCUCCAGCAUAGUACAAACACUAGAAACUACUUGCAACUCCCGGACAGAGGACAGGGGCGGUUAAUAAGUCGAGAGGGUCCAUUGGUUUCGGGCCCAACGCGUGGUAGUAGAUGUUCAUGGAUCACAAACACAGAACUCAGUUCCUGAGGACGGUUUCAAUGAGACAACCCACCAUGUACUCCUACAUGGCCGCCCACCGCUACCUUUACCAAAUCGUGUUCACAAACUUAGCUCACACACAGUAAGACAUGUUCAUCACCAUUUCAAUUCAUCCCCGAUUAAUUAGACCUGACUCAACUCUAAGCAGUAGCAGGCAUGAAAAACAAGCAUGAAUGAGUAGGCACAUCAGGGCUCAAACAACUCCUACUCAUGCUAGUGGGUUUCAUCUAUUUACUGUGGCAAUGACAGGUCAUGCAGAGGAAAGGGGUUCAACUACCGCAUCAUGUAACAGUUGAAUCGUUGUUGUCCUAAUGCAGUAAAAGAGAGCAGGAGCGAGAGAGUGGGAUUGUAUCGGAAUGAACAAGGGUGUUUUGCUUGCCUGGCACUUCUGAAGAUAGUAUAGCUCUUCAUCGGUGUCAUCGAACUCAUCGUCAGAACACGUCUUCUCGAGAG